GGAAUUUUGGACAAUGGGGGCAACCCUGAUCCAGCCAUGCCGCGUGAGUGAAGAAGGCCUUCGGGUUGUAAAGCUCUUUCGGUGGGACCGAAAUGGCCCGUGCCAAUACCGCGGGUCGAUGACCGUACUCACAGAAGAAGCACCGGCUCACUACGUGCCAGCCGCCGCGGUACUACGUAGGGUGCGAGCGUUAAUCGGAAUUACUGGGCGUAAAGCGUGCGUAGGCGGUCACAUAAGCUUGAUGUGAAAGCCCCGGGCUUAACCUGGGAAUGGCAUUGAGGACUGUGUGGCUUGAGUGCGGCAGAGGGAGGUGGAAUUCCACGUGUAGCAGUGAAAUGCGUAGAGAUGAGGAGGAACACCGAUGGCGAAGGCAGCCUCCUGGGCCGACACUGACGCUGAGGGCACGAAAGCGUGGGGAGCAAA
Molecule: ribosomal RNA, 423 nt
Filed under: uncultured bacterium
Lineage: Bacteria
Description: bacterial SSU rRNA
Rfam family: Bacterial small subunit ribosomal RNA
Source: RNAcentral